CUCAGACCCACUUGGUUUGACUGGGAGAAGAGCAUUCCCAAAAGAUUUUUCUGGGCACAGUGUAGGUCAGCUCGGUUCUCUGCUUAGAAUCUCACAAGGUCAAAAUCUAGUUUUACAGACAUUACUGAAUUUCAUUGGGGAUACAGAGCUUCACACAUGGAGACUUUGAAAGAAUAUAAAAAUUCUCCCAGUGCAUUUGGGGGAGUCCAACUUUUACAGUUCUAAAGUAUGUCACACAUAGCAAGUCAGUCACUGGAGGAGGCAUCAGCGAUGCGAGGCCUUUGAUGCUUUCUGCUAUAAUGGAGGCCAGAGGCCAGAGUCAGUAUUUACACCUUGCAGCACAUUGACCAGCUGUUCCAGCA
This is a long non-coding RNA of Myotis myotis, 362 nucleotides long. RefSeq lists it as uncharacterized. The transcript has 4 exons. The record is from RefSeq and is a predicted model, not a curated record. NCBI's taxonomy places the organism in Eukaryota, Metazoa, Chordata, Mammalia, Chiroptera, Vespertilionidae.